This 274-nucleotide ribosomal RNA is filed under the name uncultured Blautia sp. RNAcentral describes it as "partial 16S ribosomal RNA". It matches the Rfam family "Bacterial small subunit ribosomal RNA", at positions 67 to 339 of the family's 1533-position model. The record is from RNAcentral. Lineage: Bacteria; Bacillati; Bacillota; Clostridia; Lachnospirales; Lachnospiraceae.
UUGAAGCUUCGGCAGAUUUAGCUUGUUUCUAGUGGCGGACGGGUGAGUAACGCGUGGGUAACCUGCCUUAUACUGGGGGAUAACAGCCAGAAAUGACUGCUAAUACCGCAUAAGCGCACAGGGCCGCAUGGUUCGGUGUGAAAACUUAGGUGGUAUAAGAUGGACCCGCGUUGGAUUAGCUAGUUGGCAGGGCAGCGGCCUACCAAGGCGACGAUCCACAGCCGGCCUGAGAGGGUGAACGGCCACAUUGGGACUGAGACACGGCCCAGACUCC